Molecule: small RNA, 79 nt
Filed under: Shigella sonnei
Lineage: Bacteria; Pseudomonadati; Pseudomonadota; Gammaproteobacteria; Enterobacterales; Enterobacteriaceae
Description: partial RtT sRNA
Rfam family: RtT RNA
About the family: This family represents a bacterial cis-regulatory element known as RtT RNA. The exact function of RtT is unknown although it is thought that it may be involved in changing the cellular response in relation to amino acid starvation.
Source: RNAcentral
GCGAAGCGAGAGAACGUUGCGCCAGCAACGGCCCGCAGGGCGAGCCACGAAGUGGCGAGUAAUCCUCUAUCACCGACCA